CCAAAGUCCAGAGGGAAACAGCCCAGAUCGUACGCAAAGGUCCCUAAGCAAUCACUUAGUGGAAAAGGAAGUUCUCGAGCGAUGUCAACCAGGAGGUGGGCUUGGAAGCAGCCAUCCUUUAAAUAAAGCGUAAUAGCUCACUGGUCUAGUUCCAAGGCACCAAAAAAUGUCUCAAGGCUCAAGUGAAUCACCGAAGCGAUGAGACCUUGAAAGCAAC
This 217-nucleotide non-coding RNA is filed under the name Cucumis melo (muskmelon). RNAcentral describes it as "Bacterial large subunit ribosomal RNA". It matches the Rfam family "Bacterial large subunit ribosomal RNA", at positions 1005 to 1220 of the family's 2925-position model. Lineage: Eukaryota; Viridiplantae; Streptophyta; Magnoliopsida; Cucurbitales; Cucurbitaceae. The record is from Rfam by way of RNAcentral.